CCUACGGGAGGCAGCAGUGGGGAAUUUUCCGCAAUGGGCGAAAGCCUGACGGAGCAACGCCGCGUGAGGGAUGAAGGCCUCUGGGCUGUAAACCUCUUUUAUCAAGGAAGAAGAUCUGACGGUACUUGAUGAAUAAGCCACGGCUAAUUCCGUGCCAGCAGCCGCGGUAAUACGGGAGUGGCAAGCGUUAUCCGGAAUUAUUGGGCGUAAAGCGUCCGCAGGCGGCCCUUCAAGUCUGCUGUUAAAAAGUGGAGCUUAACUCCAUCAUGGCAGUGGAAACUGUUGGGCUUGAGUGUGGUAGGGGCAGAGGGAAUUCCCGGUGUAGCGGUGAAAUGCGUAGAUAUCGGGAAGAACACCAGUGGCGAAGGCGCUCUGCUGGGCCAUCACUGACGCUCAUGGACGAAAGCCAGGGGAGCGAAAGGGAUUAGAUACCCCUGUAGUCCUGGCCGUAAACGAUGAACACUAGGUGUCGGGGGAAUCGACCCCCUCGGUGUCGUANCCAACGCGUUAAGUGUUCCGCCUGGGGAGUACGCACGCAAGUGUGAAACUCAAAGGAAUUGACGG
RNAcentral lists this ribosomal RNA (564 nucleotides) under uncultured bacterium. Its description in RNAcentral is "bacterial SSU rRNA". It matches the Rfam family "Bacterial small subunit ribosomal RNA", at positions 338 to 916 of the family's 1533-position model. The record is from RNAcentral.